RNAcentral lists this ribosomal RNA (420 nucleotides) under bacterium. RNAcentral's name for it is "partial 16S ribosomal RNA". It matches the Rfam family "Bacterial small subunit ribosomal RNA", at positions 355 to 776 of the family's 1533-position model. The record is from RNAcentral.
UGGGGGAUAUUGCACAAUGGGCGAAAGCCUGAUGCAGCGACGCCGCGUGGGGGAUGAAGGCUUUCGGGUUGUAAACCUCUUUCGCUAUCGAACAAGGCCCGCUUAAGGUGGGUUGAGGGCAGGUGGAGAAGAAGCGCCGGCUAACUACGUGCCAGCAGCCGCGGUAAUACGUAGGGCGCGAGCGUUGUCCGGAAUUAUUGGGCGUAAAGGGCUUGUAGGCGGCUUGUUGCGCCUGCUGUGAAAACGCGGGGCUUAACUUCGCGCGUGCAGUGGGUACGGGCAGGCUUGAGUGUGGUAGGGGUGACUGGAAUUCCAGGUGUAGCGGUGGAAUGCGCAGAUAUCUGGAGGAACACCGAUGGCGAAGGCAGGUCACUGGGCCAUUACUGACGCUGAGGAGCGAAAGCAUGGGUAGCGAACAGG